RNAcentral lists this ribosomal RNA (407 nucleotides) under uncultured bacterium. RNAcentral describes it as "partial 16S ribosomal RNA". It matches the Rfam family "Bacterial small subunit ribosomal RNA", at positions 30 to 526 of the family's 1533-position model. The record is from RNAcentral.
AUUGAACGCUGGCGGCAGGCCUAACACAUGCAAGUCGAGCGGAGCGGCGGACGGGUGAGUAAUGCCUAGGAAUCUGCCUGGUAGUGGGGGAUAACUCCCGGAAACGGGCGCCAAUACCGCAUACUAUCAGAUGAGCCUAGGUCGGCUUAGCUAGUUGGUGGUGUAAAGGCUUACCAAGGCGACGAUCCGUAGCUGGUCUGAGAGGAUGAUCAGUCACACUGGAACUGAGACACGGUCCAGACUCCUACGGGAGGCAGCAGUGGGGAAUAUUCGACAAUGGGCGAAAGCCUGAUCCAGCCAUGCCGCGUGUGUGAAGAAGGUCUUCGGAUUGUAAAGCACUUUAAGUUGAUAGGCUGUACCCACAGAAUAAGCACCGGCUAACUUCGUGCCAGCAGCCGCGGUAAUAC